This 600-nucleotide ribosomal RNA is filed under the name uncultured Bacteroidota bacterium. RNAcentral describes it as "bacterial SSU rRNA". It matches the Rfam family "Bacterial small subunit ribosomal RNA", at positions 54 to 648 of the family's 1533-position model. Lineage: Bacteria; Pseudomonadati; Bacteroidota. The record is from RNAcentral.
CAUGCAAGUCGAACGGUAACUUUUGGUGCUUGCACCGAAAGACGAGUGGCGAACGGGUGCGUAACGCGUAUGCAAUCUACCUUUUACUAGGGUAUAGCCCGAAGAAAUUUGGAUUAAUCCCCUAUAAUAUCAUGAAUUCGCAUGAUUUUAUGAUUAAAGCUUCGGCGGUAAAAGAUGAGCAUGCGUCCUAUUAGUUAGUAGGUGAGGUAACGGCUCACCUAGACUACGAUAGGUAGGGGUCCUGAGAGGGAGAUCCCCCACACUGGUACUGAGGCACGGACCAGACUCCUACGGGAGGCAGCAGUGAGGAAUAUUGGACAAUGGACGAAAGUCUGAUCCAGCUAUGCCGCGUGCAGGAUGACGGCCCUAUGGGUUGUAAACUGCUUUUAUACAGGAAGAAAAAAUCCGACGUGUCGGAUCUUGACGGUACUGUAAGAAUAAGGAUCGGCUAACUCCGUGCCAGCAGCCGCGGUAAUACGGAGGAUCCAAGCGUUAUCCGGAAUCAUUGGGUUUAAAGGGUCCGCAGGCGGUUUUUUAAGUCAGAGGUGAAAUCCUACAGCUCAACUGUAGAAUUGCCUUUGAUACUGAAAGACUUGAGUU